CCUGCCCCUAGAAGCAUUGCAGGUGUGGCUGCUGUGUCACAAGUCUGUCAGCAGGUGGCAGAGGAGAGAAACUAUGUCUACACUCAGCUCAUGAACUUCCGACUUACGAACAUCUAAAUGAUUAAUAGCCUAACAUU
Acomys russatus (golden spiny mouse) is the source of this 137-nucleotide small nucleolar RNA. RefSeq annotates it as small nucleolar RNA SNORA17. The transcript has a single exon. Lineage: Eukaryota; Metazoa; Chordata; Mammalia; Rodentia; Muridae. The record is from RefSeq and is a predicted model, not a curated record.